Long non-coding RNA from Amphibalanus amphitrite, 981 nucleotides. RefSeq lists it as uncharacterized. Lineage: Eukaryota; Metazoa; Arthropoda; Thecostraca; Balanomorpha; Balanidae. The transcript has 2 exons. The record is from RefSeq and is a predicted model, not a curated record.
AAAAGUCGAGUUCGGGUGACGGCCCGCGCCGUGGUACCACUCUGCUAGCCAGAGGCGCGGUCAGCGGACCGGCCGACCACCGCGGACCAUCAGCGGACCAUCAGUGGACCAUUAGCGGACCAUCAGCGGACUAUCAGCGGACCAUCAGCGGACCAUCAGCGCGGACCAUCAGCGGACCAUCACAGGCCGUUCCUGGUGUGACCACUGCCGAGAGCGGUCUGACCGACUCCGCCGAUCCCAACGAUGGUGGGCAGGAUGGCCUGCUGGGCUGUGCUGGUGACUCAGGCGCUGUUGCUGAGCCCGGUGGCGACCUUAGGGGACGUGACGUCACCCAAAGCUCCUAAGGUAACCGUGCCGGAUCAGGAAUCCGACAAGGCCAUCGAUGUGAACAAGACCAGUCCGACGUCUUCAUUGGAUGGAGGGACAAUCAUUAUGACAAUCCCAGGCGGCAUUGUACACAAGCAAGGUCCGCCUCCCGCUCACCAGCCGGUCAAAAAGAAACGCUGCCAAAAACCAUGCAUCGGAAAAUUAUACCAUGCGUAUCAAACACACGCUGCUGCAGCUCCAAUCGACUCUUCUGUAUCUCAAAAUAAAACUGCCGGUGUUUUUGCCAGGGCUGCCCCAGCUCCUAGCAAGCCCUCGGCAGCUCCAAGAAGGGGUGCCCUCUUCCUGCCGUCCCGAGCUCGUACCGCAGUGGCAGUGCGAUUCGUUCGCACUCCCUGUAAACUCGUCAAGAAGCGCAACUGCUGCCUGAUCGAAACCCUCGGCAGUUACUCGUGCUCUUGUCUCAAGGUGGAUAAGAAGUGUUUCGAAAUUAAGAGGGUGAGGGUGCUUGUGCCGUUCGAGACCAUCUACCCACCGUGUCCGAAAUGCUACGAUCUGUGCGAUCACAACCGACGAAUAUGCUGCCGACUGUGGCCCUGCAAAUGACCGAUCCAAACACCGACCUGUGUUAUUAUUGGAAAUACAAAGUCCAGUUAA